Molecule: long non-coding RNA, 5512 nt
Filed under: Amborella trichopoda
Lineage: Eukaryota; Viridiplantae; Streptophyta; Magnoliopsida; Amborellales; Amborellaceae
Description: long non-coding RNA (ATRI_LNC004737)
Source: RNAcentral
UCACCCCCUUCUUUUGUUUUUUGAUUUCAAACUUUCCAACCCUAUCCUAUUGGGUUUUCCUCGAAAAUUCCAUUUGAAACAAAAAAAGGACUGAUUAUCGAGGAUGGACGGCGAGGAACGUCAGUGAACACUCGGAUCUGGUCAUAUCCCGUGAACAAAGGGGCAAGAGAAGGUAAGCCUCCAGCUUUUGAAUUGUUUGAUGAAAUGCUCAAAUGAAUGUUGGCUUGUUAACUUUUUUUUUUUUUUAAGGAUUGCACAUCACCUGCUUCGACUUGGGAGGGCCUCAAAAACAAUGAUCUUGUUUUCCAAUUUCCGAAAUAAAAGAUGACUUGUAAAGAUUUUAUGGAAUACUUUUGUUGUGAUCAGAUUUUUUUCGAAAAAGAUGCACAGACAUGCCCGAAAUCUUUAUUCGAAAUGCUUCUGACAUGCUCGUGAACUGUUCAGUAAUUUUGGAUGACUGUCUCUGCCCCCAUAGUCUAGGGAUGGUAGGACAACUAUAUUGCACCUUUGGGUGUAAAAUGAUCAAAAUACCCCCCCAGUGCAAAAUGACCAAAAUACCCUUGAGGAUAAACUCUACCUUUUGGGGUAAUUUUGAAUGAUUGUUUCUGCCCCCAUAAUAUCGGGAUAGUAGAAUAACCAUAUUUCCCCUCUCCGUGUAAAAUGACCAAAAUACCCUUGAGUGUGAACUCUACCUUUUGGGGGUAAUUUGGAAUGGUUGUUUCCUAAAAAAAUAGGAGAAAUUAAAGAAAUAAUUACCCUAUUAAGAAUUGUCGAAAUAAUAAACUUAAAAAAAUUUAAGGGUGUUGCUAUGGGGAAAAUUUAUUCAUUAAGAAUUAUAUAGGGAAAUUAUUGGUAGCAAGUAGAAGAAAAACAAAAAAUUAAGAAACUCACCUCUAACUGUCCACGUAACUUGAAGCAUUUUAUAAAUGACAACUCCACCUUUCCCCCCCAAAGAAGCCUUACGUAAUUUGCCUGUGUAGAAAAAAGCAUGAAAAGUAAGCCAUAUGAAAAAUAGUGUUAGAAAAUGAAUUAAUUGUAGCAAACAUGAAAUUUGUAGUCCAUUGUUGCAAUUAAAACUCAAACAGAAUUCAUUGGUACUUAAUUAACCAAAAUUUUAAAAUCAAAUCAUUACGAUUUAUGAUCAUCUUAUCACGAUCGUUGAUUUGUAUUAGCGCCAAGUUAGCAUUGUUAGAUUGUUAGGGCUGGACAUGAGAGGGAGAUAGAGAUAAAUGCCUACGUGUGAGACCACAUUGAGAGAGAAUUUUAAUUAUAAUAAAAUUAGGAAUCAAUAUAUAUUAAUAGCAUAUUUGUAUUGUCAAAAAGUCCCUCACAAAAACUUUAUGGGUUAGUAAUUAUAUUUAUUACAAAUAGCAUUACAUUACAAAAGGUGUAAUUAUAAGUUAUUUUUUAAUUAUUAUAUAUUCACGAAUAUAAUUAAUUUUAGGAAACUUUAUUUGUCUAAUUUUAUGCCGUUGUGCCUGGUCACAUGCAUUUUAUUUUGCUUCUUAGGCAAUAGUUUAAAAGUAUUGCAGGCUCAAUCUAAAUGGAAAUAAGACUUCAUGAACAUGUUACUCUAAUAUUUAGUUAUGGCAAAACCUUGAAGAGUGCAUUCUUGCAAUAUAUCAUUUGAUCUAUUACCAAUUAUAUAGUGCAAAUUAGAUUGUCUAGCUCUUGAUAUUGUUCUCAAAGAGAAAUAAACACUGAUUCAAAAUUGGAUGUUUCAUCAAGUUAAAUGUACAUUUUCUCGCUGGGUAAAACCAGAGGUAUCAUUAAGACUCUAGCUUUUGGAAUAUAGUCCUCCACUUAACCCAGCCAUCAAACUACGAAAAGAGAAAACAUGAAAGGAGCUUAAGAACAAACAUGGAAUUGUAUUAAAAAUCACGUCUUAGAAUUAUAGAUAAAGCGUAAUCUUUGUAGAUGCACAAGUCGGUGUUUAGAUGCUUACGAUCUUUCCUGCUCAUUUUCUUUUGAAUAUAUCACCUAGUGGCUCUAAAGUUGAUACUAAAGUUUCAGAAGAAAUAAAUCCUCCCAAAUAGCUUAUUUGCUUGAUGUAAUAAAUGUAAUUUUGCUCCUACAUAAGCAUGGUACACUGUAAUCAAUUUUAAGCUUGGAUAAACAUAGCAUAUAAGGAGCCUUUCUUCAUAGCAUUGCCAUGUGGUAAUCUUACCUACAUUGAAUAAGUAUUUUUGUAUUACUCAUGGAGUUUAUGAGUUUGAAAGCAUUCAACUAUGUAUAAAUUCAUUAUUGCUUCACUUCCAUGGUAUCGCAACUCCAUGGUUACAAACAUGGAAAAUUACAUGCAUACCAUAAAAGAUGUAGAAUUAUACAGAGGUCCAAUGUUUUCCUAAUUUUAUAUAGAGGUUCAUCUCCUAUAUAUGUUUUCAAAUUUUUCCCUCGAUUCGACGUUCCUAACAUCAAACUGGCUUUUAUUUUAUUUACUUUUUGAUUUUUCUAAAAUGUAGGGUUGUGACCUUUGUUUGGAGGCACUUCAGACAAGUUCAAUGUCUGAAAUAUCAAACUGCCCUAAAGCUGAGUAGUUCGAGGUUUGAAACUUUGAACUACCUCAAUGGGCCAGUCCAAUAUUUUAGACAUAGGGCUGUCAUUAGGUGUCUUCUUUUUUUUCCGACAAGUAGAAGGGGUGAAAACCCUAAUUUGAACCAUUCUUCACAUCCUCAGGAACCCAAACCGCCCCACACUCCCAACCCCACCCCCUAUUCCCUCAAAACCUCUCUCUAUCCCCAUACUCUUUGGGAUUUAGCACUCUAUUGUUCUACUCAAGUUGCAUCGGAAGUCUGAAUUAUGUACAUUUUUAUUUUUUUUUAUUUUCUUUUUUUAUAGUGGCACUCUAAGGUUCCAGUCAUCCAUGGAAUUGGAGCUCUAAGAUGGUUACAAUUCAAUCAUAUUCAUCAUCCUUCCAAGGAAGUUAUCGUUAUAUAUUAUUUGCCAAAAAGAUUAUUUUGUUCAAUGAUUAUGCCAUUGUAAAUAUGAGAAGAUUUUGGGAGGACAAUUCUUCAUAUUUCCAAUUAAAAUUUUUAUUUUUCAGUCUGUUUUUAAUGAACUUAUGCCAUUGUAAACAAUAGUAUUUUUAAUUUGUAAAAAAUACUGUUUGUGAAAACUAUUUAAUAAUAUUUUAAAGGUUUUAAAGUACGAAUAUUAGUUGUUCAAGAAAUAUUGAGAGAAAAGGCAUCCUUCCGCAUUGUUUUCUUUUACCACUACUCCCCCAAGUAAAAAUGAUAUAUAUAUAUAUAUAUAUAUAUUUUGAUCCAUGUUAUAUCACUAGCUUCUUUUUUUUUUGUGCCGGACCAAAAAAUUGAGUUUAGCCUGGUACAAAAAAUGUGCCACACCGGUCCGACACAUUAAUUUCAAAAGCAUGUUCAAAAUAUAAUCAAGGGGGGGGGGUGUCUAGAAAAUACAGUCAAGGGGUUUUCAAUAAUUUUCCCAAAUGUUAACUAUCAAUUUAUAAGAAAAAUUUGAUUUUUUUAAAAAUGGAUGAGAUAACAGUAAAUUAAACAAUUAGUUAUUACUACAGAUAGAGUGAUUUAUUAAAAAUGCUUUGUACAUGGAUUGAUAGUGGAAUAUAAGGAGAUUGAUGUUCUUAGGAAAUCUAAACUAACUCAUUCUCUUAGUAUGAGAAUUUACAAAAAUUAGAGUGAAAAACAACAGAGAAGAAAUCAAACUCCUAUAUAUUCUCUCCUAAUAAUAGAGAAUAGCCAUUGUGGUAUGUGUUUUGUACAUAACAUUAGUUUAAUAUAUUUUUUGUAUUUUCUCUUUUGUAUGAUUUUAUUUUAUUUUUAAUUAAUAUAUAUCAUGGUAAAAUGAUUGAAUUUUGGCUUGGGAUUUUCAACAUUUAAUAUAUGGAAAACUAAAAUUUUAAGUGCAAGUAUCCUUUAUUUUAUAUAUAAUUGUCUCAAACAGAAAAGACAUUUAAGAUUUAAGGAUAAACAACUUUCAUUUUCUGCUCAUUAUUUUUAAUUAUUUUUGAAGUUACCAUUAUAGAGUACUUUUACUUUUCAAUUAUUUAUAACAAAUACAUGAGCUAUUACAAUAAAUACUUAAAGUUUUAAAAUUAUGAAUGCUCUUUGUUCUGGAAAUAAAUAUUCACAAUUUAAAAUAAGAUGAUUAAAUUUUAGGAAAGAGACAUAAAAAGUCCCACUUACUCUAUACUUUUAAGAAAGAAUUUAUAAAUUGCUUGGAGUUAAAUAUAUAAAAUUAGAAUUACAGAUAAUCAUGUGUUCACUUAAAAAGCUUCGAAUAGAUAUGGAUCAAGUACUAAAAAAUAGAUGAUCUAGGGAUUCUAAGCUAAGUCAUUCUUUCAAUGAGAUUUAAGCAAAGAUUAUUUGUUUUUUAUCAUGGAAAAACUCUUAAAUCUAUGUUGAACUACUAAGCAAUUCAUUUUUGUUAGGUGUUUAUUAUUAUAACAAAGUUGGAUGUAUAAUCGUAGAAAAGUUCUUUAAUAUGCUAAACUACUUAGGUUGUAUAAGUUGAUUGGUAUAGCAAAGUUGGAUGUUUCGGUCAUAUCAAGAGCUUGGAAUAGAUAUGGAUCUAGUAUCGGGAAAGAGAUGAUCUAGGGAUUCUAAGCUAAGUCAUUCUUUCAAAGAAAGAUUUAAGCAUGAUUAUAAAGUUGUUUAUCAUGGAAAAGCUCUUAAAUCUAUGUUGAACCACUAAGCAAUUCAUUUUUGUAUAGGUGUUUAUUGUUAUAGCAAAGUUGAACGCAUGAUCGUAGAAACAUUCUUUACUACGCUUAACUACUUAGGUUCAUUUAUAUUGUAUGUGUUGAUUGGUAUAGCAGAGUUGGAUGUUUCGGUCAUAGAUAAGUUUUUAAACCAUGCUUUAACUUCUAAGCAAUUUAUUUGUAUUAUAUAUGUUGUUUGGUAUUGAGGAUUUAGAUGUUAUGAUUAGAGAAAUGUUCUUAAAACCAUGUUGAACUUCUAAGCAAAACAUAUAAUAUUAUGUUAUCUUUUCUAAUUAGAGACAAGCUAUUUAAAAAAAUGCAUCUAUAUAUCAAUGUUAGUACUCCAUCUAUAUCUUUGGUUAGAAUAUAGAAAUAUUUGUUUUGCUUAAAGUGUCAUUCUUUGAUGCAUUAAGUCAAUUUAAUUUUCAAUAAUGUUUGUUCUAGUUUAAGUAAAUAUUUUGUGUUUUAGAUAUUAUGGCACAUCAAGGUGAUCUUGAUGGAGGAGCAAAUGACAGGGUUCUAUUAUACUUGAAAGACAACUACAUCUGUCAUUCUCAAAAUCCUAUCCAGCAUGCAGAUUAACUUGCAAGCAAGUUGAUCUACAAGGUCUUUCUAAUGGAUUCAAGUCAUUGAAAUCACAUCGGGUCUUUAACUCAUACUUGAAGACUGCUUUUAUGCAUGUAAUUUGUUGUGGAGAUUGGAGACAUGGACUGCUUCAUUGGGUCGACUGGGAAGAGACAUCCAAAAAAUUCAAUAAGUACUAAAAUAUUAGGAUUUAAAUACCGGGAUAUGCAAGUCAAAAUUAUUACCUAAUCUUAGUUGAUGGACCACAAGAUGGAC